GAUGAACGCUGGCGGCGUGCCUAAUACAUGCAAGUCGAGCGAACAGACGAGGAGCUUGCUCCUCUGACGUUAGCGGCGGACGGGUGAGUAACACGUGGAUAACCUACCUAUAAGACUGGGAUAACUUCGGGAAACCGGAGCUAAUACCGGAUAAUAUCUUGAACCGCAUGGUUCAAUAGUGAAAGACGGUUUUGCUGUCACUUAUAGAUGGAUCCGCGCCGCAUUAGCUAGUUGGUAAGGUAACGGCUUACCAAGGCGACGAUGCGUAGCCGACCUGAGAGGGUGAUCGGCCACACUGGAACUGAGACACGGUCCAGACUCCUACGGGAGGCAGCAGUAGGGAAUCUUCCGCAAUGGGCGAAAGCCUGACGGAGCAACGCCGCGUGAGUGAUGAAGGUCUUCGGAUCGUAAAACUCUGUUAUUAGGGAAGAACAAAUGUGUAAGUAACUAUGCACGUCUUGACGGUACCUAAUCAGAAAGCCACGGCUAACUACGUG
This 497-nucleotide ribosomal RNA is filed under the name uncultured bacterium. RNAcentral describes it as "partial 16S ribosomal RNA". It matches the Rfam family "Bacterial small subunit ribosomal RNA", at positions 28 to 507 of the family's 1533-position model. The record is from RNAcentral.